AAGGUACCCAAUGAUGAAGCAGUGCAUCUUGAAUCCCAUCGAGAGGGGGAAAUAAAAGCACAAAGUAUUACCCAAAAUGACCUGGUUACAACACAAUAGCAAAGAGGAACGUUUGCAAAGAGCAAUGUCGCAUUGUCCUGCAGGUCCAAAGCAAAGUUUAUCUUUUGAAACUAUAAAGACACCAGAGUCUUAGAGCUCAUUUAGAGAAGAAAUUGCUUCCAUCUUUAAAGAAAUAUCAUUGGAAAUAAAAGCCUGCAUUUGAAAAUUGAAG
Molecule: long non-coding RNA, 271 nt
Filed under: Mus spicilegus (steppe mouse)
Lineage: Eukaryota; Metazoa; Chordata; Mammalia; Rodentia; Muridae
Description: lncRNA (ENSMSIG00000017103.1)
Source: RNAcentral